GUGGAUUAGAUACCCUGGUAGUCCACGCCGUAAACGAUGUCAACUAACCGUUGGGUUCUUAAAGAACUUAGUGGUGGAGCUAACGUAUUAAGUUGACCGCCUGGGGAGUACGGCCGCAAGGCUAAAACUCAAAUGAAUUGACGGGGGCCCGCACAAGCGGUGGAGCAUGUGGUUUAAUUCGAUGCAACGCGAAGAACCUUACCUACCCUUGACAUGUAGCGAAUCCUUUAGAGAUAGAGGAGUGCCUUCGGGAACGCUAACACAGGUGCUGCAUGGCCGUCGCCAACU
Molecule: ribosomal RNA, 288 nt
Filed under: uncultured bacterium
Lineage: Bacteria
Description: partial 16S ribosomal RNA
Rfam family: Bacterial small subunit ribosomal RNA
Source: RNAcentral